RNAcentral lists this ribosomal RNA (514 nucleotides) under uncultured bacterium. RNAcentral describes it as "partial 16S ribosomal RNA". It matches the Rfam family "Bacterial small subunit ribosomal RNA", at positions 28 to 523 of the family's 1533-position model. The record is from RNAcentral.
GAUGAACGCUGGCGGCGUGCCUAAUACAUGCAAGUCGAGCGAACAGAUGAGAAGCUUGCUUCUCUGAUGUUAGCGGCGGACGGGUGAGUAACACGUGGGUAACCUACCUAUAAGACUGGGAUAACUCCGGGAAACCGGGGCUAAUACCGGAUAAUAUUUUGAACCGCAUGGUUCAAUAGUUAAAGACGGUUUCGGCUGUCACUUAUAGAUGGACCCGCGCCGAAUUAGCUAGUUGGUAAGGUAACGGCUUACCAAGGCGACGAUACGUAGCCGACCUGAGAGGGUGAUCGGCCACACUGGAACUGAGACACGGUCCAGACUCCUACGGGAGGCAGCAGUAGGGAAUCUUCCGCAAUGGGCGAAAGCCUGACGGAGCAACGCCGCGUGAGUGAUGAAGGUCUUCGGAUCGUAAAACUCUGUUGUUAGGGAAGAACAAAUUUGUUAGUAACUGAACAAGUCUUGACGGUACCUAACCAGAAAGCCACGGCUAACUACGUGCCAGCCGCCGCGGUAA